Molecule: non-coding RNA, 399 nt
Organism: Phascolarctos cinereus (koala)
Lineage: Eukaryota; Metazoa; Chordata; Mammalia; Diprotodontia; Phascolarctidae
Source: RefSeq, a predicted model, not a curated record
UCGAAGUCCAGUGGCAAGACAAAAGUCAAGGCGACUAGCCAUGGCCCAGGAUGCAGGAUUGUUCUCAUCCUAUCAUUCCUCCAGUUGAGCAAACAUUUAUCCCGUACCUAAAGACAUCCAAGACAAUGUGCCAGGAGCUGGAGUUCCAGAGGCCAAAACGGAAAAGCAGGUGCUGUUAUGAUGCCUGCAGCCUCCUGGGAAAAGAAAAUGUGCACAGAUAAGUCAAUAUAAAGAGCUGAUACUUCCGAGAGUGAAUACAUCAGAAAAAUGGGGGAGAGGACAACAUUCACAAGGCAAUAACGUAGAAAUUGUUUCAAAGACAAAACUAAAAAUAGGUACUUUAGAAGAUUUGAUUCCAUGAGAAACACAGAAACGUAAAAAAAGAACAAAUAAAGAUGA